Molecule: long non-coding RNA, 4449 nt
Organism: Rhipicephalus sanguineus (brown dog tick)
Lineage: Eukaryota; Metazoa; Arthropoda; Arachnida; Ixodida; Ixodidae
Exons: 3
Source: RefSeq, a predicted model, not a curated record
CCUGAAGGCAUUGCAUGUACUGAUUUGCCACAGCAAUGGCGGGUGCCGCGUGGAAAGGUAAUCAAGGGCAGCUCUGUUCAAGGGAUUGAUUGGAGGAGCGUGAGAGAAGGCGGCCUGAGUGUCCCAAAACUUGCCAGGCCAACAGAGCGGCGAGUGAACCUACGCACAAAAGAAGAGCAAGCAGUUGCACAAGAAAAGCUUUGCCGCAGCAUUCUCGCAAGAGAUACCAAUAAUGCAUUUGCCCGAGGGCCCUCGUUGACGCCGGGGCAGCCGUAUAAAGAAACUAAAUAUGGCCUGGCCCCGGCCUCAUCAACACUUGCCUACCAGCAAGCACUGCUGCCUCACGGAUUUAUGCACAGUUGUCUGGCAUUACAUCGGUGUCACAUGCCUCCACCCAGCUAGUGCCGACUCCGGACCUGUUCAAGAAUUUUGAGCCUUGGAUUCCAGCUGUUCAGCAAACAAGCUCUGCAAUUCUUGAGAAGGUGAGAACAACCCGGGAGUCAUCUUUGGCACUCGAACGUGACACAAGGCAGCAGUCGCGUAGCACAACUUGGCAGAAGGAGAGGGCUUCGAGGCUGACGGCAUCAAACUUUGGUGUCGUGCUUGCGAGGCAGCAUUGGUCAUCAAAAGGCCUGCAAGCUAUCACAGCUAGCAGAGACCUCUCAAGGGUGGCUCCUAUCAGGUACGGCAUCUCCAAUGAGCCCAUGGCUGCAAAGCGCUACGAGGAAGUGCUUCAAAACAUGGGUCACGACGUGACCGUUGCACACUGCGGCCUGCUGGUCAACCCUGCCUUUCCUUGGCUCGGAGCAUCACCCGACAGGCUCGUGUAUGAUCCUGCAGAAGGCUCAUAUGGGGUACUCGAAAUUAAGUGCCCAUAUAGCCUCCGUGAAAAGAAGCGAGAAGAACUUGCCACUGCCACAUUCUGUAGCGAGCUGACUGACAGUGGCCCAAGAUUGAAGAGGGAGGACUACUAUUACGCACAAUUAGUAGGCCAAAUGGGAGUUUCUGGGCUGAACUGGGGGGACUUCGUAGUGUACGGAAAAGAUUUCAUUUUAAUUGAACGAAUUCAGCUGAACAAAGCUGAGUGGGAUGGAAUGAGAGACCAGCUGAACUACUUUUACUUUAAUACUCUGCUGCCGUUUAUGGAAAUUGCUGAGCAAUGAGUCUGCUAUUUGGCAUGUAUGUGUUAUGUUAUCAUCGCCCAUAGAGCGAUAACAGCGGCUCGACUAUCGCGACCGUUCAUUAUAUAAACCCAGACAUGCGGCCGCAAAGCAGCAUUCCACUGCGCGCUGGCAUGGAAUAAACCCAGUUCUGCUCCCGCAUUCUUCCUUCGGCGGUGGUUUCCACCCCGACGAAACACGACAUUGGCGGCGAGCAUGGGACCUUGACCAAUUCUGCGGCAAGCUGACAUGGAAAUGGACGGUCCGGCGGAGGCGGGGGUAGUGACGCAAGUCGUGGGUCGACUGGGACACAUCGAGCCGUUCGACGAGUCUACAAGCGACUGGCCGUCGUACGAGGAACGCUUGUCAUCAUUUCAUCAGGUCAAACGCAUCCCCUAGGACGACAAGGUACACGCUUUUUUGAGCCUCAUAGGCCCAAAGACUUACGGUCUACUCAAGUCAUUGACCGCGCCGGAAUUGCCGUCAGCUAAAGGUUUCGAGUUGUUAAAGAAACUUCUUGGUGACCAUUUGUCACCGAAGCCGUCGGUCAUUAGCGAACGUUCAAAAUUUCACAGAAGAUCGCAACUUGAGAUUGAAUCAAUUUCGGAAUAUGUUGCGCAGUUGCGGAAAUUGGCACAGACAUGCGAAUUUGAAUCCGCCCUCGAUCAGUCACUGCGGGAUCGUUUUGUCUGUGGUCUGUGCCGAGAAGAUAUACAGCGCGUGUUAUUUACGGAUGAUAACAAGCUAAGAUUCCAGAAAGCCGUAGAACGAGCGCUAGCCAUGGAAGCAGCUAAAAAGAGCGUGGCCGAAGCGCACGCUUCAGAAUCAAGCGUACCAGACGUUCACAAAGUCGAAGCGGUUGGGACAACUGAUAUGACGCAGGGAAAAUGCUACCGCUGUGGGUCUGCGAAGCAUGCAAGCAGACUGUGCCCGCACAUCGCUGCCAUCUGUUUCAAAUGUGAUAAGAAAAUACACAUUCAAAGAGCGUGCCAAGUUAACAAGCAGAAAACAAUGAAGGGAGCACGCCGAAACGCUAUGAAAAUAUUGCGUCCCGUUCAAGCUUCUGUUAGCAUGAAGGAAAUUUUUUCGCCUGGUCUAGAGCCGAUAAAAAUUUCAAUUCAAGUACAAGACCUACCUCUGGAAAUGGAGUUGGAUACUGGGGCUACUGUGACCGUGAUGUAUUUGAAUCAGUUUCGUCAAAUGUUUCCCUCAACCAAGGUCAUGCCAACGACGCUGAAGCUGCGGUCGUUCGAGGGAGCCAUCAUCCAGCCUGUCGGAGUUGCCCACGUGGCCGUGCAGUACGGAGAGCAGAGGGCCCAGCUGCCUCUUUACGAGGGUAGCGAUGCGGGCUUGUUGGUCUGUCAUGGUUCUUGGAUGUGGGCGCGAAAAGACAAGGACGAAGGGAAGAAGGCACACACACUGGCGCUACCUUCGCAACGCGGUCUCGAGGAUGCCUUAACUGGAUCCUCUAAAGGUUCUCAGUAGCUUGAUCCGCAAGACGAAGAUGCCUUUUCAGAAGACAUGCCGCGACGCUAGACUCAAAGGCGGCGUGCAACUGUACACUGAGGUACGCCCGAAGCAAACGAGCUUGGCGUAGCCAUUCUGAGCGCAAAAUCUUCAACACUCUCUUCCCGUGUCCGAUGGACGGAGUAAAACCACCAAAGAUGGCUACAACGUCUUGUGGUAGAAAGCCUUUGCGAAUGCAAAAACUAAGCAUUCUUGAUCUGGAUAUAGCCGUGGCGAGGAAGGCAACAGUGCGGCUAGGAUCUUGACACACAAGUAAGAAAGGGCCCGAUGAACAAGAAAUGAAUUUGACGAGGGUAGCGAUGCGGGCUUGUUGGUCUGUCAUGGUACAUGGAUGUGGGCGCGAAAAGACAAGGACGAAGGGAAGAAGACACACACACUGGCACUACCUUCGCAACGCGGUCUCGAAGAUGCCUUAACUGGAUCCUCCAAAGGUUCUCAGUAGCUUGAUCCGCUAGACGAAGAUGCCUUUUCAGAAUACAUGCCGCGUCGCUAGACUCAAAGGCGGCGUGCAACUGUACACUGAGGUACGCCCGAAGCAAAAGAGCUUGGCGUAGCCAUUCAGAGCGCAACCUUUGGAGGAUCCAGUUAAGGCAUCUUCGAGACCGCGUUGCGAAAGUAGCGCCAGUGUGUGUGUCUUCUUCCCUUCGUUCUUGUCUUUUCGCGCCCACAUCUAAGUGCCUCUUUACAUCACGAGAGAAAAGGGACUGCCUCUGCUAGGUCGGCAAUGGUUGCACGCCAUCCGACUCGACUGGAGCCGUAUUUUCAAGCUCAACGCUAUUCCCAGGUCGGAAAAUUCUACAUGUACCAGACUACGCGCUCUUCUACACAAAUACAAGAGUUUGUUUAACCCUUUAAUGCAUGAAUUAUGAAAGCGCCGAACAAAAAAAAAUUGUUUUUCAUUUUUCAGCUUUAAAUAGCAGCCUUAACACAAAUCAGCAGUUGUAUUAUCCAAAAUGGGACUUUAACGCAUACUUUUAGGUAUGUCGCGAAUUCACGACAACCGGCACUUAAGCCAAUAGUAGCUCAAUAUGUUCAAUGCAACGCAAGUGUGGCAUCGCCGAAAAUGAUGCGGAUCUCUUCAGGGCGACGUAACUUGGCGUCGUCAUUGUUGUUAAAUGCAAGUUUGACUUGAUUGCCUCCUACCAAUCACGUGACAUCGUGUCGGCCACCAUAUGUGCCCUAGACUCCGCCGCCCAGUAUGGCCAACUUCUUGGGAGCCGACAGAAUGACAUGAAGGUGACGGCACCGAGAAAUAGAUCUAGCUCACCACGAGACAGAGCCAGUCCUUUGUUCGGAUUUUUCUGCGUCGCAAACAGAUCGCUCUGCUGAACGAUGUGUUCCGUGAAGGUGUCAUAAAAAAUUUCUUGAAAUAUUCCAUAGGAGCUCGGACAGCGUCACAUUGAGGAUGAGCGGUUUUCCAGUGUGGCAUUUCCCGCUGUUUUUGACAGUCUUUUUUUUUCCACCGCACUGCAUGUUUUAGAGAGGCACUAGAGUAGAGUAGAGCCUGGAAGCUGUGGCUCAUACCCACACUGGGGGAUUGGCCAAGAACCGGUUAGUUUUUAAAGGAAAAAUUGAAAUUGAAGUUCAAACUUUGUUUAAUUAAUACGAAAGAAGUAUAAAUGAAUUAGAGUUAAAAUUAUACUACUAAUAAUAAUAUAGCAUAGAAUUGAAUCAAUAAAACCGAUAAUUUUGGGGAAAAAUAGAAAUAAUAUUUUGGAAAGGUAAAUUUUACAAUCUAAAUCUUUUUGAACCUUUAAGAAAC